UCCUGUAGGUUUUCACUCCAACCCUGUUCCUGGAGAGAUACCCUCCUGUAGGUUUUAACUCCAACCCUGUUCAUGGAGAGAUACCCUCCUGUAGGUUUUAACUCCAACCCUGUUCAUGGAGAGAUACCCUCCUGUAGGUUUUAACUCCAACCCUGUUCCUGGAGAGAUACCCUCCUGUAGGUUUUAACUCCAACCCUGUUCCUGGAGAGAUACCCCUCCUGUAGGUUUUAACUCCAACCCUGUUCAUGGAGAGAUACCCUCCUGUAGGUUUUAACUCCAACCCUGUUCCUGGAGAGAUACCCCUCCUGUAGGUUUUAACUCCACCCCUGUUCCUGGAGAGAUACCCCUCCUGUAGGUUUAACUCCAACCCUGUUCCUGGAGAGAUACCCUCCUGUAGGUUUUAACUCCACCC
Molecule: long non-coding RNA, 412 nt
Filed under: Salmo salar (Atlantic salmon)
Lineage: Eukaryota; Metazoa; Chordata; Actinopteri; Salmoniformes; Salmonidae
Description: lncRNA (ENSSSAG00000082615.1)
Source: RNAcentral